This 307-nucleotide long non-coding RNA is filed under the name Pogona vitticeps (central bearded dragon). Its description in RNAcentral is "lncRNA (ENSPVIG00000013560.1)". Lineage: Eukaryota; Metazoa; Chordata; Lepidosauria; Squamata; Agamidae. The record is from RNAcentral.
UGUGUAUGUAGAGACCCUUGUUUGUCGCAUCACACCAGCCCCUCACAAUGCCGUCUGACAUCUUUCUGUGACAAGUGACCAUAUAAUGAAGCUCAGGGUGAGACACCCCAAAGACACCUCAAAGCCUGACAUGAAAAAUCAACUAGAGCAAGACGUAAGCAACAGCACUGAGGUCAAAACUCCCGGGCAGCCAGAUCUCAUGCUGACACACACUUCCAUGCGCUCAAAGCUGACCGAUGCCAAAAGCCGACUUAACGUCUGAGACACCAUGAAGACCCCAAAGAAGAAUAUCCAGCUUUAAAGGAGA